GGCGUGUACUGCUUGGCUGGGCCUUACUUCUUGGUGAGCCGGCGUGCCCUUUAUUGGUGUGCGUCGGGGAACCAGGACUUUUACCUUGAGAAAAUUAGAGUGUUCAAAGCAGGCCUAUGCCUGAAUACAUUAGCAUGGAAUAAUAGAAUAGGACGUGCGGUUCUAUUUUGUUGGUUUCUAGAGUCGCAGUAAUGAUUAAUAGGGACAGUUGGGGGCAUUGGUAUUGAGUCGCUAGAGGUGAAAUUCUUGGAUUGACUCAAGACCGACUAUUGCGAAAGCAUUUGCCAAGGAUGUUUUCAUUAAUCAAGAACGAAGGUUAGGGGAUCGAAAACGAUCAGAUACCGUUGUAGUCUUAACAGUAAACUAUGCCGACUAGGGAUCGGAUGACCUCAAAAUUGAUGUGUCAUUCGGCACCUUACGAGAAAUCAAAGUCUUUGGGGUUCUGGGGGGGAGUAUGGGUCGCAAGGGCUGAAACUUAAAGGAAUUGACGGAAGGGCACCACCAGGUGUGGAGCCUGCGGCUUAAUUUGACUCAACACGGGGAAACUCACCAGGUCCAGACAUAACUAGGAUUGACAGAUUGAUAGCUCUUUCAUGAUUUUAUGGGUGGUGGUGCAUGGCCGUUCUUAGUUGGUGGAGUGAUUUGUCUGGUUAAUUCCGAUAACGAACGAGACCUUAACCUGCUAAAUAGCCAGGCCGGCUUCGGCUGGUCUCUGGCUUCUUAGAGGGACUGUCAG
Molecule: ribosomal RNA, 736 nt
Filed under: uncultured eukaryote
Lineage: Eukaryota
Description: SSU rRNA
Rfam family: Eukaryotic small subunit ribosomal RNA
Source: RNAcentral